Molecule: long non-coding RNA, 723 nt
Organism: Passer domesticus (house sparrow)
Lineage: Eukaryota; Metazoa; Chordata; Aves; Passeriformes; Passeridae
Exons: 4
Source: RefSeq, a predicted model, not a curated record
AAUACUGAACAACACAAACCUCAGAACUACAAAUCUCCAAAGCAGCUUCAAGUCAGAGAAAACAAAACCUUGACAACAACAGAAUCCAGCACUGCUUCAAGUUUCUUGUACCAAAAGACAAUCUUAAAAGCAAAACUGCUCACCAGGGACCUCAUUGGAGACCAGCUGAAUUCAGUAGGAGCUGCAGGUUUCCAGCACCUCCACAAAACAAAUGAACAAAACCCCUCAAGGAGUCCAGCUCGUGACAUGGACAGCUGAAGGAUUGGUGCACACAGGGACAAUAUUUCCUGCUCAGGCCUGUUUGAGUAACAACCUCAAUGGCACUGCCAGCAGCACUACAGCAAUAACUCAAAAGAGAUCUCCUGGAGAUUUGGUGUUUUCUAAUCUGAGUAGAGAAAUUAUUUUGCAUGAAUCAUAGAAGGCACCGAUAAUUGUCACAAGGCUCAUGACAAGUUUUGCAGAAGUUUCUUUGUUGCUUGUGGUGGACUCAGAUGAGAGACAGUCCACAAAACAAAACCUUGUAAAGGAAACCAUGAGCAUUACUACUCCAAGGCCAAAAUUUCACAAAAAGCUCUGUGGAGCUGUACCCUGACCACAGCACAUGCUGAGAGCAAGCUGAAAACACGAGCACAGGCUUCAGAAAUCCUCACUCACAGCUGGCCAAAGUCCCUGAAGCUCUGGGUCUCCAGUCCUAGCAGGUACCUCAUGUCCUUCCCUUUGCUG